UACAGAGGUCUCAAGCGUUGUUCGGAUUCAUUGGGCGUAAAGGGUGCGUAGGCGGCGCGGUAAGUCGGAUGUGAAAUCUCCGGGCUCAACCCGGAAAUGGCAUUGGAAACUACCUUGCUGGAGGAUUUGAGGGGGGAUUGGAAUACUUGGUGUAGCAGUGAAAUGCGUAGAUAUCAAGUGGAACACCAGUGGCGAAGGCGAAUCCCUGGAAAAUACCUGACACUGAGGCACGAAAGCUAGGGGAGCAAACAGG
This 253-nucleotide ribosomal RNA is filed under the name uncultured bacterium. Its description in RNAcentral is "partial 16S ribosomal RNA". It matches the Rfam family "Bacterial small subunit ribosomal RNA", at positions 524 to 776 of the family's 1533-position model. The record is from RNAcentral.